GAUGAACGCUGGCGGCGUGCUUAACACAUGCAAGUCGAACGAUGAAGCCCAGCUUGCCGGGUGGAUUAGUGGCGAACGGGUGAGUAACACGUGAGUAACCUGCCCUUAACUCUGGGAUAAGCCCGGGAAACUGGGUCUAAUACCGGAUAGGAGCGUCCACCGCAUGGUGGGUGUUGGAAAGAUUUAUCGGUUUUGGAUGGUCUCGCGGCCUAUCAGCUUGUUGGUGAGGUAUUGGCUCACCAAGGCGACGAGGGGUAGCCGGCCUGAGAGGGUGACCGGCCACCCUGGGACUGAGACACGGCCCAGACUCCUACGGGAGGCAGCAGUGGGGAAUAUUGCACAAUGGGCGCACGCCUGAUGCAGCGACGCCGCGUGCGGGAUGACGGCCUUCGGGUUGUAAACCUCUUUCAGUAGGGAAGAAGCGCAAGUGACGGUACCUGCAGAAGAAGCACCGGCUAACUACGUG
Molecule: ribosomal RNA, 466 nt
Filed under: uncultured bacterium
Lineage: Bacteria
Description: partial 16S ribosomal RNA
Rfam family: Bacterial small subunit ribosomal RNA
Source: RNAcentral